AGUACUGCCAGACGUUGGAACCGGGAGGAGGUAAGAGGUACGUACAGGGGUAGGGAGUCGAAAGUACUUGUAAUCCCUCGUGGGACCGACCUGUGGCGAAGGCGUCUUACCAGAACGGGUUCGACGGUGAGGACGAAAGCUGGGGGCACGAACCGGAUUAGAUACCCGGGUAGUCCCAGCCGUAAACGAUGCUCGCUAGGUGUCAGGCAUGGCGCGACCGUGUCUGGUGCCGCAGGGAAGCCGUGAAGCGAGCCACCUGGGAAGUACGGCCGCAAGGCUGAAACUUAAAGGAAUUGGCGGGGGAGCACAACAACGGGUGGAGCCCUGCGGUUUAAUUGGACUCAACGCCGGACAACUCACCGGGGGCGACAGCAAUAUGUAGGCCAAGCUGAAGACUUUGCCUGAAUCGCUGAGAAGAGGUGCAUGG
This 427-nucleotide ribosomal RNA is filed under the name uncultured archaeon. RNAcentral describes it as "bacterial SSU rRNA". It matches the Rfam family "Archaeal small subunit ribosomal RNA", at positions 580 to 997 of the family's 1478-position model. The record is from RNAcentral.